UGGGGAUUAUUGCACAAUGGGGGAAACCCUGAUGCACCGACGCCGCGUGAACGAAGAAGGUAUUCGUAUCGUAAAGUUUUGUCCUAUGGGAAGAUAAUGACAGUACCAUAGAAGAAAGCCCCGGCUAAAUACGUGCCAGCAGCCGCGGUAAUACGUAUGGAGCGAGCGUUGUCCGGUAUUAUUGGGCGUAAAGGGUACGCAGGCGGUUUAAUAAGUAGAAUGUUAAAGAUCGGGGCUCAACCCCGCAAAGCAUUGGAAACUGAUAAACUUGAGUAGUGGAGAGGAAAGUGGAAUUCCUAGUGUAGUGGUGAAAUACGUAGGUAUUAGGAGGAAUAACAGUAGCGAAGGCGACUGUCUGGACACGAACUGACGCUGAGGUACGAAAGCGUGGGGAGCAAACAGG
RNAcentral lists this ribosomal RNA (403 nucleotides) under bacterium. RNAcentral's name for it is "partial 16S ribosomal RNA". It matches the Rfam family "Bacterial small subunit ribosomal RNA", at positions 355 to 776 of the family's 1533-position model. The record is from RNAcentral.